Passer domesticus (house sparrow) is the source of this 868-nucleotide long non-coding RNA. RefSeq lists it as uncharacterized. NCBI's taxonomy places the organism in Eukaryota, Metazoa, Chordata, Aves, Passeriformes, Passeridae. The record is from RefSeq and is a predicted model, not a curated record. The transcript has 3 exons.
ACGUUGCUGACGUGCUUCCAAAGAGCUAAUUGGGUUGUUUUAAUAGGAAAACUCUACAACAUCACUAUCCAGGCUGGGAUUAUGGAAGAGAUGAAUCAGGUUCUUUAGAUAAUCUGUCAUCUUUGUAUCACUCUGAGGGAGGUAAGAGCUUGUAAUACUGGUGAGUACCUGGUACCUUGUAAGGCUGGUGUGGAAUGAGGUGUGUAGGUAGCAAGGGAUGGGGGACAUUGGUCUUGGCCAAUAGACGACCACUGGCAGGGCUCCAACAGGUCCCUGGCUGCUGUGGAACACUGCUUUGAUUCUGUUACUCAUUUGGUCACAAAGGUGUGCUGGAGUGCCAGAAUUCCUUAGAAGGAAGCACCCUAUGAAGCUGAGAUAGGCUGACAUUUAGGUCUAAAUGCUAUAUAUAUGUUCCCUAAAAGAUAUAUGUAGAUCCCUCAGUCUGACCAGUUGUUAGCACUGACUCCUGAAAAUAUCCAUCACAUAGGAGACACAAAGAUUCAGAGUCUUACUACAGACUUGAACAAGAAAACUUAUGUUCUGAAUGUGAAUUAAGGAGAAGUGGGUGUUUUGAGUGUGAGUUUUGGUGAUGGCCCAAAGGUGCAAACGCUGAUGAGAAAGCAGAGCCACAUCACUGCGAGCUUGGCAGGCAGGGAGCACCUGCCCUCAGCUGGGAGCCUGCUGUCAUCCAGAGUGGUCUGGGACAGAGUGAGCCAAGAGGGAAGCCAAAAAUUGUCUGGUUCUGCUUUUGCCUGCACCAGUUCAGCCUCCCCUGGCACAGGGUCAGAAUUGGAUGUGGUCAGGAAGCCAUCCUUUGCAAAUCUGCUGGAGUCCUUUGGAAAAGCCGUGGGAAAUGUGCACAGAGGAG